CAUUUGUUAGACGACAGAUCUACAAAACUGUGGAAGAAAAAGUGCGAAAGCAAACCAAAGGCCUUUAUCCUGCCCCUCUGAAAAUAAUUGAUGUUGUAAAAACUGGACUUGAGCAAGGGAGUGAAGCUGGUUAUCUUGCUGAAUCACAGAAAUUUGGAGAGCUGGCAUUGACCAAAGAAUCAAAAGCCUUGGUGGGACUAUAUCAUGGCCAAGUCCUGUGCAAGAAAAAUAAAGUUGGAGNNN
RNAcentral lists this long non-coding RNA (243 nucleotides) under Marmota monax (woodchuck). The record is from RNAcentral. Lineage: Eukaryota; Metazoa; Chordata; Mammalia; Rodentia; Sciuridae.